GAUGAACGCUGGCGGCGUGCCUAAUACAUGCCAGUCGAGCGAACAGAUGAGGAGCUUGCUCCUCUGACGUUAGCGGCGGACGGGUGAGUAACACGUGGAUAACCUACCUAUAAGACUGGGAUAACUUCGGGAAACCGGAGCUAAUACCGGAUAAUAUAUUGAACCGCAUGGUUCAAUAGUGAAAGACGGUUUUGCUGUCACUUAUAGAUGGAUCCGCGCCGCAUUAGCUAGUUGGUAAGGUAACGGCUUACCAAGGCAACGAUGCGUAGCCGACCUGAGAGGGUGAUCGGCCACACUGGAACUGAGACACGGUCCAGACUCCUACGGGAGGCAGCAGUAGGGAAUCUUCCGCAAUGGGCGAAAGCCUGACGGAGCAACGCCGCGUGAGUGAUGAAGGUCUUCGGAUCGUAAAACUCUGUUAUUAGGGAAGAACAAAUGAGUAAGUAACUAUGCACGUCUUGACGGUACCUAAUCAGAAAGCCACGGCUAACUACGUG
RNAcentral lists this ribosomal RNA (497 nucleotides) under uncultured bacterium. Its description in RNAcentral is "partial 16S ribosomal RNA". It matches the Rfam family "Bacterial small subunit ribosomal RNA", at positions 28 to 507 of the family's 1533-position model. The record is from RNAcentral.